GCGGAUGUAGUUCAGUGGUAGAACGUCAGCUUCCCAAGCUGAAUGUCAUGGGUUCGAGUCCCACCAUCCGCU
This 72-nucleotide transfer RNA is filed under the name Planktothricoides sp. SR001. It matches the Rfam family "tRNA". From Rfam's summary of the family: Transfer RNA (tRNA) molecules are approximately 80 nucleotides in length. The record is from Rfam by way of RNAcentral. Lineage: Bacteria; Bacillati; Cyanobacteriota; Cyanophyceae; Oscillatoriales; Oscillatoriaceae. RNAcentral also lists the same sequence under 5 other names.